Molecule: non-coding RNA, 74 nt
Organism: Myotis brandtii (Brandt's bat)
Lineage: Eukaryota; Metazoa; Chordata; Mammalia; Chiroptera; Vespertilionidae
Source: Rfam
GGCAGUUCUUGGGUGACACACCCUGGAAUCGGGCUCCCUCCUCUCUGGUUCUAGUGUGUCACCCAAGAACCGCU